RNAcentral lists this ribosomal RNA (284 nucleotides) under uncultured bacterium. Its description in RNAcentral is "partial 16S ribosomal RNA". It matches the Rfam family "Bacterial small subunit ribosomal RNA", at positions 773 to 1058 of the family's 1533-position model. The record is from RNAcentral.
CCUUUAGAUACCCGGGUAGUCCACACCGUAAACGCUGUCUACUAGCUGUUUGUGAGUUUAACUCGUGAGUAGCGAAGCUAACGCGCUAAGUAGACCGCCUGGGGAGUACGGUCGCAAGAUUAAAACUCAAAUGAAUUGACGGGGGCCCGCACAAGCGGUGGAGCAUGUGGUUUAAUUCGAUGCAACGCGAAGAACCUUACCUACACUUGACAUUCAGCGAAGUUACCAGAGAUGGUUUCGUGCCUUCGGGAACGCUGGGACAGGUGCUGCAUGGCCGCCGUCAG